GACAGAGGGUGCAAACGUUGUUCGGAAUUACUGGGCGUAAAGCGCGUGUAGGCGGCCCUGCAAGUCGGGUGUGAAAUCCCAUGGCUCAACCAUGGAAGUGCACUCGAAACUGCAGGGCUAGAGUCCUGGAGAGGAAGGUGGAAUGCUUGGUGUAGAGGUGAAAUUCGUAGAUAUCAAGCGGAACACCAGUGGCGAAGGCGGCCUUCUGGACAGUGACUGACGCUGAGACGCGAAAGCGUGGGGAGCAAACAGG
This 253-nucleotide ribosomal RNA is filed under the name uncultured bacterium. RNAcentral describes it as "partial 16S ribosomal RNA". It matches the Rfam family "Bacterial small subunit ribosomal RNA", at positions 524 to 776 of the family's 1533-position model. The record is from RNAcentral.